GGAACUCACAAGAGAGGACAAAGAUGCAGCACUAAUUAGAUGUCAUGAGAGGUUUGAGAUUAAUUUGGAUGAGCAUUACGUGAAAGAUAGUUGCGAGGAUAUCCUGAAAAAUAGAAGCAGGUAGUGGCGUUACAAGUUAAAACAACUAUUUGAAAGUGCACACUCCGAGGAAGAAGCUCGUAAAAUUGAAGUGCCAGAGUUGACCCCCGAAAAUUGGAAUAGGCUUUGUGACAUGUGGAUCAAUCCACAUCAUAAGAAACGAUGCGACAUAAACAAGGUCAAUAGAACUAAGCUUAAAUCUAAUCAUUUCAUGGGGUCAAAAGCGUUUGUAGCGGCUCGUGCUGAAAUGGGUGGGACUAAACCUGAAGGAGUAGAGCCUGAUAGAAUCGAUUUUUACAAGCAUACUCAUUACACGAGUGAAAAAGGAUGGUCU
Solanum stenotomum is the source of this 433-nucleotide long non-coding RNA. RefSeq lists it as uncharacterized. The record is from RefSeq and is a predicted model, not a curated record. The transcript is spliced from 4 exons. Lineage: Eukaryota; Viridiplantae; Streptophyta; Magnoliopsida; Solanales; Solanaceae.